Molecule: unclassified non-coding RNA, 309 nt
Filed under: plant metagenome
Description: partial contains 5.8S ribosomal RNA, internal transcribed spacer 2, and large subunit ribosomal RNA
Rfam family: 5.8S ribosomal RNA (bases 1-105)
Source: RNAcentral
GAAAUGCGAUAAGUAGUGUGAAUUGCAGAAUUCAGUGAAUCAUCGAAGCUUUGAACGCACAUUGCGCCCCUUGGUAUUCCAUGGGGCAUGCCUGUUCGAGCGUCAUUUGUACCCUCAAGCUCUGCUUGGUGUUGGGUGUUUGUCCCGUCUCCGCGCGUGGACUCGCCCCAAAGUGAUUGGCAGCCGGCGUACUGGUCCCGGAGCGCAGCACAUGUCGCGCAAACGAGUGCCUUGGUACGGCGGCGUCCAUAAGCCCCUCUCUCACGCUCUUGACCUCGGAUCAGGUAGGGAUACCCGCUGAACUUAAGC